UGGCAACAGUGAUGACGACUCUUGACUCUGCAAUGCGUGUUGCUGCAACUUGGAGACACCAGUCCCUCUAAACUGAUGUUGCCA
Molecule: non-coding RNA, 84 nt
Organism: Podarcis lilfordi (Lilford's wall lizard)
Lineage: Eukaryota; Metazoa; Chordata; Lepidosauria; Squamata; Lacertidae
Source: the annotation of a GenBank genome assembly